This 253-nucleotide ribosomal RNA is filed under the name uncultured bacterium. Its description in RNAcentral is "partial 16S ribosomal RNA". It matches the Rfam family "Bacterial small subunit ribosomal RNA", at positions 524 to 776 of the family's 1533-position model. The record is from RNAcentral.
UACGGACUGUGCAAACGUUAUUCGGAAUCACUGGGCUUAAAGAGUCCGUAGGCGGCCUGUUAGGUGAGGUGUGAAAUCCCCCGGCUCAACCGAGGAAUUGCGCUUCAAACCGGCGUGCUUGAGGAAGAUAGAGGUGGGCGGAACUGAUGGUGGAGCGGUGAAAUGCGUUGAUAUCAUCAGGAACACCGGAGGCGAAGGCGGCCCACUGGGUCUUUUCUGACGCUGAGGGACGAAAGCUAGGGGAGCGAACGGG